GGUGGCCAUCAAACGGGUGCCACGGAACCGUGUCCGGCACUGGGGCGAGCUGGAACACCGUCAUACAGCCCCCCGGAAUGGACCGACUUCGGGUGGUACCAUAGCGAGGCAGCAACCGUCUGGACCCUGGGCAUCCUGCUGCAUGAGAUGGUCUGCGGGGAGCACCCUUUCAGGAGGGGCAGGAACAUCAGCUGGGCCCAGCUCCCACUGCUACAAUGGCUCUCCCAAGACUGCCGAAUUCUGAUCAGGUGGUAUUUAUCCCUCUCCACUUAUUAUCCCCAAGCACUCCUUGGACAGGCCCUCAUUAGAAGACCUGUUCUGUGAUCCCUGGAUGCAGGAUAUUCAUCUGCCCUAGAAGAAGGGGAGAGCCACAGGCACAGUGAUGCAGGGACCUGGGGUCAUCAAAUGGGAACACACCGCCCUUGUGCUGGAUCUGAGCUGCUCUGCCCAGCACUGCUGGCUGCCAUCUGAGCUGGUUUUGCUAGUCUUGGUUCACUGACAGCCGGGCCCUGAGCAGAUCCCUGACAGCCUGGUGUCACCCCAGGGAAGAAGGAGCCCCUGGAGAAGCUGUACCAGGUGGGACUGCUGCUGCUGCUGCUGG
Non-coding RNA from Cyanistes caeruleus (blue tit), 601 nucleotides. The record is from RefSeq and is a predicted model, not a curated record. NCBI's taxonomy places the organism in Eukaryota, Metazoa, Chordata, Aves, Passeriformes, Paridae.